GUGCGCAUUGUAGUUUGCUGAGGAUGCUUCGGGAGCGUGUCCCCAUCUAAGUGCCCUGAGAACGGGCUGUCAUACAUGGUGAGAAUCCCGCUAUGGGAUGUGGUGUCCGCGCCCGUGUGAAGCUCCUUCGACGAGUCGAGUUGUUUGGGAAUGCCGCUCUAAAUGGGUGGUAAAUUUCAUCUAAAGCUAAAUAUUGGCCGGAGACCGAUAGCGCACAAGUAGAGUGAUCGAAAGAUGAAAAGCACUUUGAAAAGAGAGUUAAAAAGCACGUGAAAUUGUUGAAAGGGAAGCGUUUGCGACCAGACUCGCCUACGGGGUUCAGCCUACCUUCGGGUAGGUGUACUUCCCCGUGGGCGGGCCAGCGUCGGUUUGGGCGGCCGGUCAAAGGCCCUC
RNAcentral lists this ribosomal RNA (393 nucleotides) under fungal sp. Its description in RNAcentral is "partial large subunit ribosomal RNA". It matches the Rfam family "Eukaryotic large subunit ribosomal RNA", at positions 136 to 530 of the family's 3401-position model. The record is from RNAcentral. Lineage: Eukaryota; Fungi.